GGUAGUACUUGGCCAAACCCAUAACAGUGCUGCUUGGUUCCCAAUGUGGAUGAUGAAGAAGAAGGAGAAGAACAAGAUGAUGAUGAUGAUGAAGAAGAGGAAGGAUUAUAAGAUAUUGAUGAAGAAGGGGAUGAGGAUGAAGGCGAAGAAGAGGAAGAUGAUGAUGACGUUGAGGAAGGAGAGGAGGAUGAAGGAGAAGAUGACUAACAGAACACUGAUGUUCUGAACAAUUUUUUUUUUAAUUUUCUCCAGUCCCUGGGAGCAAGUUGCAGUCUUUUUUCUUUUUUCCCCUCUUGUGCUCAGUCGCGCUGUUCUUGAGGUCUCUUUUCUCUACACCAUGGUUUUCAACUUAUUUGGGGGGAAAUGCCUUGAGCAUAAUACAAUGGGAAAAUAUUCUCUACCCCUUUCUCUUCAGAAUUCAUUCUUAUCUCUUCCUGUCUGAACAAAAACUGUAUGGAAUCAACACCACCAAGUUCUGUGGGAGAAAAGAAAAACCUUCUCCCUUUGCUCUGCUGGAAGCUGGAGAGUGCCAGACCCCUGUGUAGCAGUGCAUAGAAUUCUAGCUUCUUUUCUCCUUUCUCUGUAUAUUGGGUUCAGAGAGUACCGUGUGUCUCUGUGUGAAUAUGGACCAUCAUUUAUCAACAUGUAUCUGUCUACUUUCUCUUGUUUAAAAAAAGAAAAAAAAACCUGUAAAAAAUGAGGUUAUAGAAAGUCAUCAAAGGCUUCUGCUUAAGCAUGCAGGUGAGAAGGGAAGAUACAUGUAAUCUGCAUGUCUGCCACCAUUCCUUGUUACCCUUUUUCAUAUCCCAUGAGCACAGCACUCCAGCGGACCUACCCAAAAUAUGUGGGAGUUCAGUGAAACUCAAACAGCAUGCUUCUGGUCAGCCUAUACAGUCUCUGUCCUGGUGAGGAGCAUGAUCACCAACAGGCAAGAUCUUCUGGCCUUGAAGUUUCGCUUGAGUUAAAAGAGCUCAUCUCAGGACUUUCUGAAUUUUCAGCCCAUAUGACAUGGAAGAAGAGUUAGAAGGGGAAUCUGACUGCUUGGAUCAGGGACUGUCUGGCUGGUGGAACUUGAAUGUGCUGUUGUCCUCUUUCUGGACCUUAGAGAUGUACAGUGCGCCACUCUGAGGAUCAAGUCUGACCCUGCCUUUAAAUUUGGAUUCAAAGUACUUAGAUUUUCUGGAAUCCCAUUCUACAAUCUUCUGGUCGAAAGUAUAAAACCAGCAUUGGCCAGCUUGAGAAAUAAAGGGACAGAGUACAAAAGAGAGAAAUUUUAAAGCUGAGCAUCUGGGGGAGACAUCACAUGUC
Molecule: long non-coding RNA, 1308 nt
Filed under: Homo sapiens (human)
Lineage: Eukaryota; Metazoa; Chordata; Mammalia; Primates; Hominidae
Description: novel transcript, antisense to CD48
Source: RNAcentral